UACAAAAACUCUCAGCUAAUAACAUACUUAGUGGUGAUAGACUGGAUGUUUUCCUCCUAAGAUCAGGAACUAGAGAAGAAUGUCUAAUCUCACCACCUCUAUUCAACAUUGUCCUGGAAGCUCCAUCGAUGGCAAUUGGGCAAGACAAUGAAAUAAAAUGUAUUCAGAUUGGAAAGGAAGAACUAAAACUUUAUUGGCAGAUGACAUAGUCAUGGAUUUCGUGUACAUAGAAUAUUAUGGUCAUGUACAUAGAAAACCCUAAGGAAUCCAGCCCUCCCUCCUCAGCCUUCCCCGCGAGCGGACGCGGCAGCGCCUCUGUCUCGCUUUUUCUUAUUUUUCCCCCCUUUUCCCCUUUCUUCUUCUUCUUUUUUUUUUUUCUUUUCUUUUCCCCCCUCCUCCCCUUUCACCAUUUCCUCUCGGAGGCGCUUUCCCCGGGCAGGGACAGAGCCGGUCUCACCCCCCCACGCCUCUCCCCGGCCCCUGCCGCCCUAUGGCGAGAGGGAGCCCCCUCCCCACCCGGGCUCGAGCGGCGGCGGCCUCAGGCCGGGGUCAUCAUGGAACUAAUUCGCUGACCGACCGCGCCCCUCGACCCGCUUCCCCCUCUUCUCCCUCCUCAAUGGGCCCCGUAGUCCUGCGCGCACCGCCGCCGCGCGCGGAUGAGAAUGAGGUGGUAACGGGCUCCCGGAUGACCUCGCGUCACCACUGUGAGGCCUACAGCUCAGCCGGGGAGGAGGAGGAGGAAGAGGAGGAGAAGUAG
Cercocebus atys (sooty mangabey) is the source of this 757-nucleotide long non-coding RNA. RefSeq lists it as uncharacterized. The record is from RefSeq and is a predicted model, not a curated record. The transcript has a single exon. Lineage: Eukaryota; Metazoa; Chordata; Mammalia; Primates; Cercopithecidae.